Long non-coding RNA from Bolinopsis microptera, 833 nucleotides. RefSeq lists it as uncharacterized. The transcript is spliced from 6 exons. The record is from RefSeq and is a predicted model, not a curated record. Lineage: Eukaryota; Metazoa; Ctenophora; Tentaculata; Lobata; Bolinopsidae.
AUAUAGCAUGCAAGGUGUAUUCGACCUGGACGUGAUAGGUAAAGAGGAUCUAGUCAGCGCAAACAGCAAAAUAACUGAGCUGCAGAAAAAUGUUGAGGCAGAAAGAAAGAUAAGGGUUAGAAAAAUGUCAUGUCAACGAGAUCAGAUGACCAAUACCAUCGUAAAAUAUUGAUGUGGAAACAACGAACAGUUCACUAGUCUUCAAGACUGAAGAGUUGGUAUUUGAGAACGAGAAUUUGAAGGAGGAGCUAGAAGAAAACAAAAGCAAAUGCCAAGAAACUUACAGUUACUUGGAGGAGAUAGCGAGGUUGCGUGCAGAGGUGAGUGCUAUGAAACAGUUACAGAGGGAAAAUUAUGAUCUGCGACGCAAGUGUUCUGAACAGGAACAGGCGCUGGUAGAAUUAGGAGACCACCUAAGCAAAUCGAAAGUUAAAGCGGAAGAACUUAAACACCAUGUUGAGAUGACUAUAGAGAACAAAUGGGUGUCUGACAAAGAUCAAGUCAGCUGUCAGCAGUGCCAUGAAAACUUCAGUGUUUCUAGGCGACGGCACCACUGUCGUAACUGUGGAGGUAUAUUCUGUCACCAGUGUUCUGACAACACCAUGCCCCUCCCCUCCUCCUCCCGUCCUCUCAGAGUCUGUGACAAUUGUGCGGAUCUGCUGUUACAACGCAGCGUCGUCCUCGCCACUUAUGUGGUUUUGCCAAUACCAUGACUAGGCUACAGGGUUAGAUGUGCCUGUGUAAAUUAAAUGUUUCACUUUGUAAACUGGUACUGGAGUCUGGACUAAAGAAGAGCUUGAGUAACGACUUUUGAUUUUGUAUAUUAUAGUUUC